GGAGAAUCUGAGCAUAGGUGGGCUCACCUGGUUUGAAACCAGACAGCCGAAAGGUUUGGGGGUUCGACUCCCUCAUUCUCCG
Molecule: transfer RNA, 82 nt
Filed under: Candidatus Latescibacterota bacterium
Lineage: Bacteria; Pseudomonadati; Candidatus Latescibacterota
Description: tRNA-Ser
Rfam family: tRNA
About the family: Transfer RNA (tRNA) molecules are approximately 80 nucleotides in length. Their secondary structure includes four short double-helical elements and three loops (D, anti-codon, and T loops).
Source: RNAcentral